Topomyia yanbarensis is the source of this 1114-nucleotide long non-coding RNA. RefSeq lists it as uncharacterized. The record is from RefSeq and is a predicted model, not a curated record. Lineage: Eukaryota; Metazoa; Arthropoda; Insecta; Diptera; Culicidae. The transcript has 3 exons.
AAAGAGGAAUCAGAACAAAAAGUAAUGGUGCACGGUGCAGCCGUGAUUCCUGCUCAGUGCGCUUAAACCGGCUGGGAAAAUACUCGUGCGGGACAGAACACACAAAUAUGAUUUUGCUUUCACGCGAGUCCGACAGUCACAGGAGUGAGGAUCCGGUCAAAACUCAAGCGUACAAGCAGGAACACGACGUCCGUUCAUACAAGCUCUGUUGAACUAAUCAGGGUUGAUUCAGGGCAGCACCAAAUCGUACCGGAUUACACCGGGAAGAUAAGAAACCUGAAGGCAUCAGUGCCAGCAAGCAGUGAUCUGCGAACGGAAAGCGAUACGUUUUUAACCAGCCUAGCAAACACGAAACGGAAAACGCCUUCCAAGAGAAGUGAGUAAAUCACAGCGAUUAUAGAUUUUAUGAAGACACGUGGAAUAUUGUAGGGCUCCUUUUCCGAUACUAAGUGUCCUACUUCAAACAUCGGAACUCAGCUACCGGCUCAUCAGAAGUUCCAUCAAGGCAUCGGUCGAACAGGAACAAUUCGCAAGCCGGUUCAGUUGGUGGAAGGAAUCUGGUUACCGCACCUGCGUCCAUGUGCGCAGCAAGAGUACAAGCAGUUAAUAGGAGACCGUGAUGCAAUAGGUCCCACGGUCGGGCUCAGGGGGAUUUUGCCAGCACUAAUGAGGGCAUGCCGGAUGGAAUUGAAGGUGGCGAGACACACGAUUUAUGUCGUGAGAUGCCGCAGCGGUAUGGCGGGGCCGUGCGUACUAGCUUUCAAGAAGUGAGUACAAUCAGUAGGCCGGAAGGGCAAAGCAGCAGCAAUAGGUGGAUAGAAGAAGCCAGAGGAAAUAGAGAAAUGUGUGAAGAGAGAUUAAUAAAGGGGUAGGGUGUUGAGCCCAUUUACGCCAUGUUUCUAUUAUCACCUUACCCAUUUGAAACCGUUGGUUGGAGCAGUGUUUGCCAUCUUUGUUCAACACAUUGAGUCAAAUGGUAGCGCAACAAUAGGGGCACUCGAUUCGAGUUUUCGUUGCACUCAAACACAAGAAUUUCACUGUUUUCAGUUCAUUUGUGUUAUUAUAUUGGCUCUUAACAACUAAGCAAAGCUAUUGAUAUCAAUUUUUACGCAUU